Molecule: ribosomal RNA, 501 nt
Filed under: uncultured bacterium
Lineage: Bacteria
Description: partial 16S ribosomal RNA
Rfam family: Bacterial small subunit ribosomal RNA
Source: RNAcentral
AUUGAACGCUGGCGGCAGGCUUAACACAUGCAAGUCGAGCGGGGGAAGGUAGCUUGCUACCGGACCUAGCGGCGGACGGGUGAGUAAUGCUUAGGAAUCUGCCUAUUAGUGGGGGACAACGUCUCGAAAGGGAUGCUAAUACCGCAUACGUCCUACGGGAGAAAGCAGGGGAUCUUCGGACCUUGCGCUAAUAGAUGAGCCUAAGUCGGAUUAGCUAGUUGGUGGGGUAAAGGCCUACCAAGGCGACGAUCUGUAGCGGGUCUGAGAGGAUGAUCCGCCACACUGGGACUGAGACACGGCCCAGACUCCUACGGGAGGCAGCAGUGGGGAAUAUUGGACAAUGGGGGGAACCCUGAUCCAGCCAUGCCGCGUGUGUGAAGAAGGCCUUAUGGUUGUAAAGCACUUUAAGCGGGGAGGAGGGUACUCUAGUUAAUACCUAGGGAUAGUGGACGUUACUCGCAGAAUAAGCACCGGCUAACUCUGUGCCAGCCGCCGCCGUAA